This is a long non-coding RNA of Symphalangus syndactylus (siamang), 777 nucleotides long. RefSeq lists it as uncharacterized. The record is from RefSeq and is a predicted model, not a curated record. NCBI's taxonomy places the organism in Eukaryota, Metazoa, Chordata, Mammalia, Primates, Hylobatidae.
CUGCUAAGCAUGUCAUAUGCAUUAUCUCAUUAGUUGUCACCAACAACCUAUGGCCCUGAUGCUCUUAUUGUUUCCAUUUUUUUCAAUAAGAUUCAUCAUUCACCCCAAGUCACACAGCUGCCAAGUGACAGACUCAGUCCUGCCUCCAGUCGGCCUCCACAGUUCCCUCUCUAAACCAUGAUGUCUCCCCAGCCCCCAGCUAUGUGGACAUAAAGAUUUAUGCUGUGGAGGCAAACAGUCCUCGAAGAUUUAAAGUGGAAGAGGAACUUCUGGCAAAACCAGCUUAGCUUGGAGGUGAAGUGCUAGGUCUGCAUGGGAGGCUUCAGAGAGAUCCAGGGAGCUUCGGGGCAGCCUAGGAACAGACCUUGCACGUGACUGAGCAUGCACCUUCACACAGAAGAUCAAGUGCUUUCAGUGGACAAUGCAGAGCGGGGAAACGUUUUCUCAACACAGCCUCAGAUAUAUUUUUAGUUGAAAUAUGAAGCCACAGCAACACUUUGACUUUUCCUCUUCAGAAGAUGAGACAGGCCAGGGUCGUCAUUGUUACAAAAGCAAGGCCUGUGAUCAUGACAAGGACAGGCUGGGGCAGAGACCACACGUUCAACCAGGUGGACCCUCAGGCCCAGAGCCGGCAGCAGAGGGGGGUGAAUCCAUGGCAACAGGAGUCACAGGUGAACCAAAGGGAAACCAAACACACGCAUCGAAAGCCAAUCAAACACAAACCCCAAAUGUGAAGGCAGCAGCAAGUUCUUUGUGUAAUAAAUAUUGCAAAGCGCA